Molecule: ribosomal RNA, 487 nt
Filed under: uncultured bacterium
Lineage: Bacteria
Description: bacterial SSU rRNA
Rfam family: Bacterial small subunit ribosomal RNA
Source: RNAcentral
UGAACGCUAGCUACAGGCUUAACACAUGCAAGUCGAGGGGCAGCAUGAACAUAGCUUGCUAUGUUUGAUGGCGACCGGCGCACGGGUGCGUAACACGUAUCCAAUCUGCCCGUUACUCGGGGAUAGCCUUCUGAAAGGAAGAUUAAUACCCGAUGGCAUGUAUUUCCGGCAUCGGAGAUACAUUAAAGAUUUAUCGGUAACGGAUGAGGAUGCGUACGAUUAGCUGGUUGGCGGGUAACGGCCCACCAAGGCGACGAUCGUUAGGGGUUCUGAGAGGAAGGUCCCCCACACUGGAACUGAGACACGGUCCAGACUCCUACGGGAGGCAGCAGUGAGGAAUAUUGGUCAAUGGUCGAGAGACUGAACCAGCCAAGUAGCGUGAAGGAUGACUGCCCUACGGGUUGUAAACUUCUUUUGUUUGGGAAUAAAUGAUACUACGUGUAGUAUUCUGCAUGUACCUUACGAAUAAGCAUCGGCUAAUUCCGUG